This 253-nucleotide ribosomal RNA is filed under the name uncultured bacterium. RNAcentral's name for it is "partial 16S ribosomal RNA". It matches the Rfam family "Bacterial small subunit ribosomal RNA", at positions 524 to 776 of the family's 1533-position model. The record is from RNAcentral.
UACAGAGGAGGCAAGCGUUAUUCGGAAUUAUUGGGCGUAAAGGGCGCGUAGGCGGCUUUGCAAGUGACGGGUGAAAUCCCUCGGCUUAACCGAGGAACUGCCUGUCAAACUGCAUGGCUUGAGACCGGGAGAGGUGAGUGGAAUUCCCAGUGUAGCGGUGAAAUGCGUAGAUAUUGGGAGGAACACCAGUGGCGAAGGCGGCUCACUGGACCGGUACUGACGCUGAGGCGCGAAAGCGUGGGGAGCAAACAGG